Molecule: long non-coding RNA, 2723 nt
Organism: Protopterus annectens (West African lungfish)
Lineage: Eukaryota; Metazoa; Chordata; Ceratodontiformes; Protopteridae
Exons: 2
Source: RefSeq, a predicted model, not a curated record
GAUACAGGUAAAUGCUUUUCUUAGACUAGCUAGUUACAACAGAAAGUUUAUGCACAGUUUUAUGAUUACUGCUGCUCACAAGAAAAAAGUUCCAUUUAAUGAGCUAUAACAUAUUCUUUGUUCUGAGUCUAUGUCAUAAAGCCUGAUUUUACCAAGGAGUUCACUCAUCAGAUGACAGUUUGGGGGCAGUUCUAUUUCACAUUAAAACACAAUCUAAAAGUGAAGCGGUAUCAUACAAGUUUCAGAUUACAGUCUGAGACAUAAAAAUGUAUGAAUUUCAUAUAAGUCUUGUGUAGUCUGGUUAUGGCUAUAGGCUAACUGAUACAUCUCUUUUGAUUAGGUUUCCUCUUACUUGGUAUGCAUAUUUUAUUUUUAUUUUAUUUUAUUUUUUAUUUGGUAACCAGGGUAGAACAGUGAUCCUAUUGGACCCAUUUCAGCCUGAGCCCAGUACAUCUUAACAGAGCAAGAGUAUAAUGCUUUUAGUUAUUCAUUAUUCAGUGUACUCUUUAAAAUAUGUUGCUUACUUAGAUAAAGUGUGACCCACAGCACAGUGUUGUUCCUCACGCCUAAGCAGCAGAGAUAGAAACAGGACCCCAGAAUGCUCUUUCACCCGUUUCUUAAUCAACAUACUCUGGGUUUAUCAGUUCAACUAGAAUACUUAUCAAAGUAAAAUGCUACUAUUGUACCAUUAAUAGUGUUUAUGUUGUAUUCAUUGUCUGUAGACCUGCCAUUCCCAGUUAAAAACUACACAACUCGACAACAAACUAAAAUAUAAAGUAGCAGGAGCAGCCCAAUGGCACAGGGAGAAAGUUUCCAUCCAUGCCACUGGUGGUCCAAGUUCAGGAAUGGAGUUAAAUAGAUAGACAGACAGUUGUUUGGUUGUGGGAGUGCAAGAUGAGUACUUUUCCACCCUGGGAGAUGGUGCAGGCAGACCCCUCUUAAUGGGAAGUAGCUGAGUGAAGGCCAAAGUACUUACCCCACAUCAAUACACAAUGUACCAGAACAGCAGGUAGCAGGUGGUUUAGAAGGCAUGUACACAAUGUACCAGAACAGCAGGUAGCAGGUGUUUUAGAAGGCAUGUACACAAUGUACCAGAACAGCAGGUAGCAGGUGUUUUAGAAGGCAUGUACACAAUGUACCAGAACAGCAGGUAGCAGGUGGUUUAGAAGGCAUGUACACAAUGUACCAGAACAGCAGGUAGCAGGUGGUUUAGAAGGCAUGUACACAAUGUACCAGAACAGCAGGUAGCAGGUGUUUUAGAAGGCAUGUACACAAUGUACCAGAACAGCAGGUAGCAGGUGGUUUAGAAGGCAUGUACACAAUGUACCAGAACAGCAGGUAGCAGGUGGUUUAGAAGGCAUGUACACAAUGUACCAGAACAGCAGGUAGCAGGUGGUUUAGAAGGCAUGUACACAAUGUACCAGAACAGCAGGUAGCAGGUGUUUUAGAAGGCAUGUACACAAGUGUCAGCAUUGCUGUGAUGCCACUGCUCAGCUUCAAAGCAAGAAGAAAAUGGCAUGCUGGGAUCUCGGAGAUAAUCUUUUUGAAUGCACAGUGGCAGCUAGGAGGGGUGGAGUUGUACACUGUGCACACAUUAAAGAGGGUUUAGAAGAAAUGUGGCAAGUGACAACAAACCAGAAGUUUCAAUGGCAUAUGGCUUCUUAGCAGAAGCAGUUUAAAAUUGAAAUAUGAAAUAUUAAGUGCUCUUUGAAAGAAAGAGUUGCAACUAUUUUUUCUUUAGUGGAAGACUAUUUUGAAAAAAAAUUGAAAUUGAACUUACUUCUGGUUACCGUACCAUAACAUAAUAGAUGAACCUGCCACCUGAUUUGAUGUUUCUGGAAAAGAUAAUUACCUUCUAAGAUCAAAAGUAAAUAUUAGAAAAAUAAUCUAUACAACAUGUUCAACCUCAGUGCAUAGUAUAUGACUGACAAAGGCAUGAAACUAUACAUGACAUUUUCUAAAUUCUUCAUGACAUUUACUUAAUUCCUUAAUGUUCUUAUUUGGUUACUGAAUUUUGUUAUGUUGACAUACAGAAUGCCAAACAGCUGCCAAAAGAAUGGAACUACAGACAUUACAUGAGAAUGGUGUAGCAGCCAUUGUACAAAAAUGGAGCCAUUACACGAGAAUGGUGUACCAGCCAUUACACAAGAAUUGUGCAACAGCCAUUACCCAAGCAUGAUGCAACAGCCAUUACACAUGAAUGGUGCAACAGCCAUUAAAUGGAAAUGGUGGAAAAAUGUUAAAACCAUAUUAUGGCAAAUUAAAUUCAAUACUUUGUCUUCAGUUAAUCAGGGAAAUAAAUCCUACAUGCAUUCCUUAUCUAAAAAAUCAUAUAAACAUGUGCUGCUACUAAAAUAUAAGAAAUCAGUACUCCAAAUAUAUCCAAAAUAAUUCAGACAAAACUGCAGUACAUGUAAGACAUGCAGUAAUUUUUCCUUGCAAAAAUACCCAUUAGGUUACAUAUGAAAAUGUUCAGCAUUUUAGUGCAACUCUUUACUUCUAUUGGAACUAUAACAGUAAAGCAGACAAAAAAAGAAUGUGGUUAACAUAAAUAAAUAAAUAAAGCACAAAAGUACAGGUGUAAUUGGGGGCAAACAAUUUGUACAUCCUGAAUUGUAGAUGGUACUCUUAUUUUUAUUGUCAUCAUUACUAAUCAUUAUCAAGUUAACACUUUAAAUCUAGGGUCAGUUAAAUUUGAGUUUGAUGGUACAUAAUACAGAAAC